This 402-nucleotide ribosomal RNA is filed under the name uncultured bacterium. Its description in RNAcentral is "bacterial SSU rRNA". It matches the Rfam family "Bacterial small subunit ribosomal RNA", at positions 355 to 774 of the family's 1533-position model. The record is from RNAcentral.
UCGGGAAUUUUGGGCAAUGGGCGAAAGCCUGACCCAGCAACGCCGCGUGAGGGAUGAAGUAUUUCGGUAUGUAAACCUCGAAAGAAUGGGAAGAAUAAAUGACGGUACCAUUUAUAAGCUCCGGCUAACUACGUGCCAGCAGCCGCGGUAAUACGUAGGGAGCAAGCGUUGUUCGGAUUUACUGGGCGUAAAGGGCGCGUAGGCGGCGCGGUAAGUCACUUGUGAAAUCUCUGAGCUUAACUCAGAACGGCCAAGUGAUACUGCUGUGCUAGAGUGCGGAAGAGGCAACCGGAAUUCUUGGUGUAGCGGUGAAAUGCGUAGAUAUCAAGAGGAACACCUGAGGCGAAGGCGGGUUGCUGGGCCGACACUGACGUUGAUGCGCGAAAGCCAGGGGAGCAAACG